Molecule: ribosomal RNA, 499 nt
Filed under: uncultured bacterium
Lineage: Bacteria
Description: bacterial SSU rRNA
Rfam family: Bacterial small subunit ribosomal RNA
Source: RNAcentral
UAGUCCACGCCGUAAACGAUGAUCACUCGCUGUAGGCGAUACACAGUCUGUGGCUAAGCGAAAGUUUUAAGUGAUCCACCUGGGGAGUACGAUCGCAAGAUUGAAACUCAAAGGAAUUGACGGGGGCCCGCACAAGCGGAGGAACAUGUGGUUUAAUUCGAUGAUACGCGAGGAACCUUACCUGGACUUAAAUGUAGAUUGCAUAGCUUAGAGAUAGGCUUUUCUUCGGACUAUUUACAAGGUGCUGCAUGGUUGUCGUCAGCUCGUGCCGUGAGGUGUCAGGUUAAGUCCUAUAACGAGCGCAACCCCUGUUGUUAGUUGCCAGCAUGUAAAGAUGGGAACUCUAACAAGACUGCCGGUGCAAACCGCGAGGAAGGUGGGGAUGACGUCAAAUCAUCACGGCCCUUACGUCCUGGGCUACACACGUGCUACAAUGGUAGGGACAGAGAGCAGCCACACUGCGAGGUGGAGCGAAUCUAUAAACCCUAUCUCAGUUCGG